UACGAAGGGGGCUAGCGUUGUUCGGAAUUACUGGGCGUAAAGCGCGCGCAGGCGGUCUUCCAAGUCAGUGGUGAAAGCCCGGAGCUCAACUCCGGAACUGCCAUUGAAACUGUAAGACUUGAGGAUGAGAGAGGUGAGUGGAAUUCCCAGUGUAGAGGUGAAAUUCGUAGAUAUUGGGAAGAACACCGGUGGCGAAGGCGGCUCUCUGGGACGGUACUGACGCUGAGACGCGAAAGCGUGGGGAGCGAACAGG
RNAcentral lists this ribosomal RNA (253 nucleotides) under uncultured bacterium. RNAcentral's name for it is "partial 16S ribosomal RNA". It matches the Rfam family "Bacterial small subunit ribosomal RNA", at positions 524 to 776 of the family's 1533-position model. The record is from RNAcentral.